ACUUAAAUAGUUUAAAAAAAUAAAAAUUUUAAUUUGUGAUAUUAAAGAUAUAAAUUAUAUUAUUUUAAGUU
This 71-nucleotide transfer RNA is filed under the name Megalodontes cephalotes. RNAcentral describes it as "tRNA-His". The record is from RNAcentral. Lineage: Eukaryota; Metazoa; Arthropoda; Insecta; Hymenoptera; Megalodontesidae.